GAGGGUACAGCUCAGUGGUAGAGCACAUACAUAGCAGGCACCAGGUCCUGGGUUCAACCCCCAGUACCUCCA
RNAcentral lists this transfer RNA (72 nucleotides) under Camelus bactrianus (Bactrian camel). It matches the Rfam family "tRNA". From Rfam's summary of the family: Transfer RNA (tRNA) molecules are approximately 80 nucleotides in length. Their secondary structure includes four short double-helical elements and three loops (D, anti-codon, and T loops). RNAcentral also lists the same sequence under 2 other names. The record is from Rfam by way of RNAcentral. Lineage: Eukaryota; Metazoa; Chordata; Mammalia; Artiodactyla; Camelidae.